This 646-nucleotide ribosomal RNA is filed under the name Salmonella enterica. RNAcentral's name for it is "partial 23S ribosomal RNA". It matches the Rfam family "Bacterial large subunit ribosomal RNA", at positions 592 to 1238 of the family's 2925-position model. The record is from RNAcentral. Lineage: Bacteria; Pseudomonadati; Pseudomonadota; Gammaproteobacteria; Enterobacterales; Enterobacteriaceae.
UGUGACUGCGUACCUUUUGUAUAAUGGGUCAGCGACUUAUAUUCUGUAGCAAGGUUAACCGAAUAGGGGAGCCGGAGGGAAACCGAGUCUUAACCGGGCGUUAAGUUGCAGGGUAUAGACCCGAAACCCGGUGAUCUAGCCAUGGGCAGGUUGAAGGUUGGGUAACACUAACUGGAGGACCGAACCGACUAAUGUUGAAAAAUUAGCGGAUGACCUGUGGCUGGGGGUGAAAGGCCAAUCAAACCGGGAGAUAGCUGGUUCUCCCCGAAAGCUAUUUAGGUAGCGCCUCGUGAAUUCAUCUCCGGGGGUAGAGCACUGUUUCGGCUAGGGGGCCAUCCCGGCUUACCAACCCGAUGCAAACUGCGAAUACCGGAGAAUGUUAUCACGGGAGACACACGGCGGGUGCUAACGUCCGUCGUGAAGAGGGAAACAACCCAGACCGCCAGCUAAGGUCCCAAAGUCAUGGUUAAGUGGGAAACGAUGUGGGAAGGCCCAGACAGCCAGGAUGUUGGCUUAGAAGCAGCCAUCAUUUAAAGAAAGCGUAAUAGCUCACUGGUCGAGUCGGCCUGCGCGGAAGAUGUAACGGGGCUAAACCAUGCACCGAAGCUGCGGCAGCGACGCUGAUGCGUUGUUGGGUAGGGGAGCG